Molecule: RNase P RNA, 410 nt
Filed under: Endozoicomonas sp.
Lineage: Bacteria; Pseudomonadati; Pseudomonadota; Gammaproteobacteria; Oceanospirillales; Endozoicomonadaceae
Description: RNase P RNA component class A
Rfam family: Bacterial RNase P class A
About the family: Ribonuclease P (RNase P) is a ubiquitous endoribonuclease, found in archaea, bacteria and eukarya as well as chloroplasts and mitochondria. Its best characterised activity is the generation of mature 5'-ends of tRNAs by cleaving the 5'-leader elements of precursor-tRNAs.
Source: RNAcentral
CGAGCUGGCCGGGCAGUCGCUGUUUGUCCUGAUUCUUACCAAUUGGGAUGGAUGGAGGAAAGUCCGGGCUCCAGAGGGUAGGGCGCCAGGUAACGCCUGGGGGGCGAAAGCCUACGGAAAGUGCAGCAGAGAGUAGACCGCCCAAGUUGGUUUUCUUGUUGGUUAAACGACAGGAAUUCUGACCGGUAAGGGUGAAAGGGUGCGGUAAGAGCGCACCGCAUGGCUGGUAACAGUCCAUGGCAUGGUAAACCCCGCCUGGAGCAAGACCAAAUAGGAAUCCUAUAGGUGUGACCCACACUGGAUUCGGGUAGGUUGCUUGAGGUGUCUGGUGACAGACAUCCCAGAUGAAUGACUGCACAGGCCUGCUUUGGCAGGCUGGACAGAACCCGGCUUAUAGGCCGGCUCGCUUC